Long non-coding RNA from Populus euphratica (Euphrates poplar), 2428 nucleotides. RefSeq lists it as uncharacterized. The transcript has 5 exons. The record is from RefSeq and is a predicted model, not a curated record. NCBI's taxonomy places the organism in Eukaryota, Viridiplantae, Streptophyta, Magnoliopsida, Malpighiales, Salicaceae.
UAGUUAACUUCUUUUCCUGGAAAACAAUAGAAAAAGAGCGUUUAAUGUGCCACUAUAAUAUUUCUCACAGAUCACAAAGCUGGGAUCAAUAUUAGAGAGUGUUUUGUCUGAUGGAUAAAGAUGAAUUAGAUAUUAUGAUUUUUUUUUUUGAAGUUGUAUGCUGCUGCACAACAUAAAAAUCAAUUUUCCUAAUGCUAUUUUAAAAGAGACAUAUCAUCAAAAGGAAUAGGAAAUUCAUUGUAGAGUCGUUAGUUAUAAAAUGAUUUGCCUUCGUCUAAUAUAUAGCAAUGUACUUCCAUCAUUCUUGAGGAAAUCAUGCUCGGCUUUGUUUGAUUUUGACUCUGGAAAACAAACCCACCAACAAGCUGUUGUUCUUGGGUUUGAACCGGACCUAUUUGUAUCAGCAGCUUCGAUUGGUAUGUGUUUAAAAUGUGGGAAGUUAACUGAUGCAAGAAUACUGUUCGAUGAAAUUCCUUAGAGAAAUAUUGUUACUUGGAAUUCUUUAAUCACCGGGUAUGUUCAAAAUGAUGAUGCUCAUGAAGCGUUAAUGGUUUCUAAGGAGUUUUUGAUUGAGAAGAGUUAAGGAAAUGGUGAAGAGGUUGGAACUUCUGUUGAUUCUGUUGCUAUGGUUUCUGUUUUAUCGGCUUGUUCUUGUGUUUCUAAUAAAGCAGUCAGUGAGGGAGUUCAUGGGGUUGCUAUGAAGGUCGGGUUCAAUAAAGUGAUGGGAGUUGAGAAUACUUUGUUGGAUGCGUACAUAAAGUGUGGUGAAAUGAGUUUGCCUGGAAAGGGGUUGGAAUUCUAUGAUUGCUGUGUAUGCCCAAAAUGGGUUAUCGAUGGAUGCUUUUGAAGUUUUUCAUGGGAUAUUAAAGGAUGGUGAUGGUAAAGACAAUGAAGUGACUUUUUCCACUUUGUUGCUAGCAACCAGGAACACCCUCUUCCUCUAAUCAUCCUGCUGAAGAAGUUGAUGCAGAUGGGGAAUCAAGCAGCACCAUUGCAAAUUGCGUUGACCGUGGUAGUUAACACUCAUUCCAUUGAAUUAUUUGAAUGAGGUCGGCUGGUCUCUUAGACAAUGAAAUUUGAGGCAAAAGAAUUAAAAAAGGUGAGAGGAAGAACAUUUUCAAGCAGAAGUUUGACGUUAGAGCAGGAGAAAAGCUGCUAAAGACAUCACGCUUCUUUUUGUCUACUGAAACUGGUGCUGUUGCAGGACUUCUUUUUAUUUCUACUGAAAAGAUUGCUUUCUGCAGUCAGCGAUCAAUUUCCUUCAAUAUUCCUAAUUGGAAGCACAAUGACACAGUCGAUCAGUUGUCUGCAAUUAUGUUGGAACAAUCGGUCCAUGCCACAGCUUAUUGUUGACAUAGAUGUUGAAUUCUCUGGUCUGGUUUGCUGGCAGCUUUCCGAUUUCAGCCAAGUGCAUGUAGAGGAAAAACGGGUUGGUGGGGUUUUCACGUUGAAAAUAGGACACUAGGGGAUUGCCAUGGUUGAUUGAACCGCUGCUUUUUGCAUGAUAGCAGAUGGGAAAGUGUACUUGUUAUCAUCUGGUGAUUUAAUGGCAUAGCUAGUAUUUUUAACUUCGCAACCAAGAGGCAGAAGAGGUGACCAAAUUCAAUCAUAGACAUCGUUAGAGAACCUAGAUGAUAUGUUUCUGUUUACUGAGAAACUUCUGGAUAAUACUGGACAGUUGAGGUAAUGUAUGAAAAAAUGAAAGAAAAUGGCUCACCUGAUCGAAUCUGAAUAGGCUACAUCACAACCAACUCUGCGGCCAACAAGUCAGGUACAUUGCUGUAAGUGUUAUUGUCCAAAAGCCUUAGCUCCAAAACUGAUAUGAAAGGUGUCCCAAAACGUGUUUUCACAAGACAAAUGUCUAUAAUAUCUGGAGAAAGGACAUGGAUGAUUUCUGUUGUGAGGGGAGUGGAUGCAUCAUUCAGUCUCACUGCUUCCCAUCGUGGUUCAUCAUAGUACCACACAAAAACCCUGCACUGAUCAGGAAAUUGUUCUUGCUGUCCCCGUGCGUAAGCUUCAAAGGUAACAAAUUUUGGUUCCAUCAGGGAAGCUUCUGAGAUUGAGAUAUUGCUUGUCUAUACCUGUUGUGUUGAUUUUGGAUGAUACAUUCUUGUUUACAACAGUGUCUUUGUAGUUUGCAUCUGAGAUGUAAUAGAUUCCUGUGAUAUUAGCUUCAUAGCUUGAACCUUAUCCAAAAAUCUCUAAAAACCAUCUAGGUUCUCAUUUACCAUAAAACUAGGUGGUGAUUCAUGUAUUUAAUUUUACCUUCAUCAAUCCAGAAAUAAUCAAGAUUAUUGAGAUUUUUCCUAUGAUAAAAUGUCAACUCCGUUGGGAAGUUAGUAAGGGCUAAACUUUGUUUGCUUGGUUGAAAAUAAUAUGCUUGUUAUAUCAUUUUUUUAUAUGAUUAUCUAUAUUAUGUGAUUUGUUA